UACGAAGGGGGCGAGCGUUGUUCGGAUUUACUGGGCGUAAGGGGCGCGCAGGCGGCUAUCCAAGUCAGGCGUGAAAGCCCCGGGCUUAACCUGGGAGGUGCGUCUGGGACUGGGUGGCUAGAGUUCGGGAGAGGAGAGUGGAAUUCCCAGUGUAGAGGUGAAAUUCGUAGAUAUUGGGAAGAACACCGGUGGCGAAGGCGGCUCUCUGGACCGAGACUGACGCUGAGGCGCGAAAGCGUGGGGAGCGAACAGG
RNAcentral lists this ribosomal RNA (253 nucleotides) under uncultured bacterium. RNAcentral describes it as "partial 16S ribosomal RNA". It matches the Rfam family "Bacterial small subunit ribosomal RNA", at positions 524 to 776 of the family's 1533-position model. The record is from RNAcentral.